This 1411-nucleotide long non-coding RNA is filed under the name Phaseolus vulgaris (common bean). RNAcentral's name for it is "long non-coding RNA (PVUL_LNC002637)". The record is from RNAcentral. Lineage: Eukaryota; Viridiplantae; Streptophyta; Magnoliopsida; Fabales; Fabaceae.
AGCAAUAUCAGCAGAACCCACAUCCCCAAUACCCUUCCACUACAUAAGAUAGAGCAUAAUCCAAUGCAGGGCAAGUUAAUUAAGCUAACAAUAACAGCAGAAUGGAAAGUCUCUAGGAAACGAAGGCUAAAAUAACCAAAUGAUCAACAACAAAUAACAAAAAAAUGACGAAAAAAAAACAAAAGAAAGGGCACAUCACCGUGAAGUUAUAGAGAAUAUGGCGAGAGAAAAGGAUACGUACCACGCAAAGCUAAGGGUUAUGUCUCUGCAGAUCUGAAACAGAACACGAACGAGUCAGUGAGUGAGUGACAGUUUUUCCCUACCCCUACCAAGAGUAAUUCUCCAAAUACCUGAGUAACGGUUUUCUCAUGCUACUCCAAUGCCUUUAAGAUAGGAACAAUUCCUGAUAUGAAAAGGAAGAAAACAACCAAAGAACAAAACCCACAGAAGAAAAUAGCAAGUUCAGAAUGAAGAUAUAUUAGAGAUCACGGCUAGAACAAAUAAGUAGAAAGGAAACUCAUAAAAAUUAGGUUAUCCCAAGUUGUAAGUCGUUCUAAUCUUAUGAUUUUUAAUACUCAGUCGGAAAAUUCUGAGAAGGAACGAAUGCUUUAAUUUUCAGAAAUAAAUAACAAUUCCAACAAGAAUGAUCAAUCCAAAGGUUUGGAAAACUAAUAAAAGAGCCAAAGACCUAUAUUAGAGGCUUAUACGAGAAGGCAUGAAAAUUGAGUAGUGAACUUUUCAAACCAAGAAGCAAACCAUCAAAUCAAAGAUUAAAAGCCAACCGCACUUGUCCCAUGCUCAUCCCACAAAUAGCAUCCUAUGAACCAUACACCAGCAAAAUACAACCAGGAUUAUAAUCAAACCAUCAAAGAAAUAUUUAGCUUCACAAAUAACAGAAAUUCCACAAUUCAAUCUUUGGAGAUCAAGUAGAGAAAAUAAUUUAAACAUCGAACACCAUUCAAUCCAACAUUUGAGACGAAUCUCAUCGAGAAAUUAGGAUAUCCUGGGAGUUGCAGCCAUUUUAAACUCUUUAGGAUUUAGGGUCAGAAACUCGAAUUGAUGAACUGUGGUCACAACCCUUCUCAUUCGUGCAGCUACUCCCGCAACACCAUCUACGCGGAUCAAAUAAUGUCGUCUAGUGUCUUCAAAUUCGAGAGGCAACAAAAUUGGAUCCAAUUUGGCACUGAUUCCCCGAAGAUAGUGUUGAAAAAGAAGCCACACAAAUGAAGCCAGGCCAUACCCCUGGUGGUCACAAAAAUCACCCAUGAAGAAAAACAGUGUCGCCAUUAGAGGAUUAUCCGAGAAGGCAUUAAAGUUUGAGUAGAAAACUUUUCAAACCAAUAAGCAAACCAUCAAAUCAAAGGGUAAAAGCCAACCGCACUUGUCCCAUGCUCAUCCCACAAAAUGCGUC